AGAGUUUGAUCCUGGCUCAAGACGAACGCUGGCGGCGCGCCUAACACAUGCAAGUCGAACGAGAGAUGAGGAGCUUGCUCUUCAAAUCGAGUGGCGAACGGGUGAGUAACGCGUGAGGAACCUGCCUCAAAGAGGGGGACAACAGUUGGAAACGACUGCUAAUACCGCAUAAGCCCACAGCUCGGCAUCGAGCAGAGGGAAAAGGAGUGAUCCGCUUUGAGAUGGCCUCGCGUCCGAUUAGCUAGUUGGUGAGGUGACGGCCCACCAAGGCGACGAUCGGUAGCCGGACUGAGAGGUUGAACGGCCACAUUGGGACUGAGACACGGCCCAGACUCCUACGGGAGGCAGCAGUGGGGAAUAUUGCACAAUGGGGGAAACCCUGAUGCAGCGACGCCGCGUGGAGGAAGAAGGUCUUCGGAUUGUAAACUCCUGUUGUUGAGGAAGAUAAUGACGGUACUCAACAAGGAAGUGACGGCUAACUACGUGCCAGCAGCCGCGGUAAAACGUAGGUCACAAGCGUUGUCCGGAAUUACUGGGUGUAAAGGGAGCGCAGGCGGGAGAACAAGUUGGAAGUGAAAUCCAUGGGCUCAACCCAUGAACUGCUUUCAAAACUGUUUUUCUUGAGUAGUGCAGAGGUAGGCGGAAUUCCCGGUGUAGCGGUGGAAUGCGUAGAUAUCGGGAGGAACACCAGUGGCGAAGGCGGCCUACUGGGCACCAACUGACGCUGAGGCUCGAAAGUGUGGGUAGCAAACAGGAUUAGAUACCCUGGUAGUCCACACCGUAAACGAUGAUUACUAGGUGUUGGAGGAUUGACCCCUUCAGUGCCGCAGUUAACACAAUAAGUAAUCCACCUGGGGAGUACGACCGCAAGGUUGAAACUCAAAGGAAUUGACGGGGACCCGCACAAGCAGUGGAGUAUGUGGUUUAAUUCGACGCAACGCGAAGAACCUUACCAAGUCUUGACAUCCCUUGACGAUACUGGAAACAGUAUUUCUCUUCGGAGCAAGGAGACAGGUGGUGCAUGGUUGUCGUCAGCUCGUGUCGUGAGAUGUUGGGUUAAGUCCCGCAACGAGCGCAACCCUUAUGGUCAGUUACUACGCAAGAGGACUCUGGCCAGACUGCCGUUGACAAAACGGAGGAAGGUGGGGAUGACGUCAAAUCAUCAUGCCCUUUAUGACUUGGGCUACACACGUACUACAAUGGCGUUAAACAAAGAGAAGCAAGACCGCGAGGUGGAGCAAACUCAGAAACAACGUCCCAGUUCGGACUGCAGGCUGCAACUCGCCUGCACGAAGUCGGAAUUGCUAGUAAUCGUGGAUCAGCAUGCCACGGUGAAUACGUUCCCGGGCCUUGUACACACCGCCCGUCACACCAUGAGAGCCGGGGGGACCCGAAGUCGGUAGUCUAACCGCAAGGAGGACGCCGCCGAAGGUAAAACUGGUGAUUGGGGUGAAGUCGUAACAAGGU
Molecule: ribosomal RNA, 1467 nt
Filed under: metagenome
Description: bacterial SSU rRNA
Rfam family: Bacterial small subunit ribosomal RNA
Source: RNAcentral